AAAAUUGUUGGAGGGUUUUGUGGAUAGUCAAGCUUCUAUUUUCGCGGAGGAGGAUCUAAAUCAGUUAAAGGCAGCUCUUUCUGAAGCAAGACAAAUGAUUAAUUUGCUUUUGAGCAGUCAUCCAGAGAGUUUCCUGAAUGCAGUUAUUCGAGAGAGAAGUUACUACAGUCUGGACCACAAGAAAGUUGUCACAAUAUCUGAGAAGCUAAAAGAUUCUUCGGAUCGGUUAUUCGGAACCUUUGGAAGUCAGACAAUGAAGCAGAAUCCAAAAAAGAAGUCACUGGAUACUUUGAUAAAAAGACUCAGGGACGUGAGCUAAUUGAGAUAAGCAUUUCAUGCUCUGUUUUUCCUAUUUGUUUCUCUUUCUGCUGCUGAUUGAAAUAGCAGUUAUAUCUCUUAUUGGUUCAUUCCUAACUUUGUUUCCUUUGUCUCCCAAUUGUUGUCUUCUGUUUGAUUAGAGAUGUGCACAUUUUUUGUAUAUUAUCACAUUUAUGUAGUUGUUUCAUACUUGUUUAUCUUUGGAAAGUAUCAGCAGCAUUUCAUCCAUGGAGACUCGGACUUGGAAACCUGGUUGUGGUGAUAGUCUUAUGUGCUGAAAACUGGCCGCAUCGGAGACUGAUGAUCAGAACUGAACCAAGUCCGUGUUUUGUGGAUUACUCAUAGACAUAAGGUUUAGAUGGGCUUCCUUCCAUAAAAUCAUUGAUUGAUUUCACAGUCAAUACCGCUUACAACUGUAGUAGGUCCACAGAGUCUUUGGAUCAAAUCAGAAGCGGAGUUAACUUCUCAACUCCAACUCCUUGAGCCAAACCGGUGUAUCAAAUGGAUCUCAGAACUUCUAGGUUUGUGGCUAUUGUCGUAGUUCCCAUUUUAAA
This is a long non-coding RNA of Cucumis melo (muskmelon), 872 nucleotides long. RefSeq lists it as uncharacterized. The record is from RefSeq and is a predicted model, not a curated record. The transcript has 2 exons. NCBI's taxonomy places the organism in Eukaryota, Viridiplantae, Streptophyta, Magnoliopsida, Cucurbitales, Cucurbitaceae.